GUGCUAUGAUGUAAUAUCAACACAUCAUUCUGAAGAGAAUGGAACAUGUGGAGACUCUUUUUUUUUAUUACUGAGCACA
RNAcentral lists this small nucleolar RNA (79 nucleotides) under Alligator sinensis (Chinese alligator). Its description in RNAcentral is "Small nucleolar RNA SNORD63". It matches the Rfam family "Small nucleolar RNA SNORD63". Rfam says of the family: snoRNA U63 is found in both humans and mice. U63 is a member of the C/D class of snoRNA which contain C (UGAUGA) and D (CUGA) box motifs. Lineage: Eukaryota; Metazoa; Chordata; Crocodylia; Alligatoridae. The record is from Rfam by way of RNAcentral.